This 459-nucleotide ribosomal RNA is filed under the name uncultured bacterium. RNAcentral describes it as "partial 16S ribosomal RNA". It matches the Rfam family "Bacterial small subunit ribosomal RNA", at positions 338 to 795 of the family's 1533-position model. The record is from RNAcentral.
CCUACGGGUGGCAGCAGUGAGGAAUAUUGGUCAAUGGUCGGGAGACUGAACCAGCCAAGCCGCGUGAGGGAUGAAGGUACAGAGUAUCGUAAACCUCUUUUGUCAGGGAACAAAGGCGGGGACGCGUCCCCGGAUGAGUGUACCUGAAGAAAAAGCAUUGGCUAACUCCGUGCCAGCAGCCGCGGUAAUACGGGGGAUGCGAGCGUUAUCCGGAUUUAUUGGGUUUAAAGGGUGCGCAGGCGGUCUGUUAAGUCAGCGGUCAAAGCCCGGGGCUCAACCCCGGCCCGCCGUUGAAACUGGCAGUCUCGAGUUGGAGAGAAGUAUGCGGAAUGCGUGGUGUAGCGGGGAAAUGCAUAGAUAUCACGAAGAACUCCGAUUGCGAAGGCAGCAUACCGGCGCUCAACUGACGCUCAUGCACGAAAGUGUGGGUAUCGAACAGGAUUAGAUACCCCUGUAGUC